RNAcentral lists this long non-coding RNA (861 nucleotides) under Fukomys damarensis (Damara mole-rat). RNAcentral's name for it is "lncRNA (ENSFDAG00000026116.1)". The record is from RNAcentral. Lineage: Eukaryota; Metazoa; Chordata; Mammalia; Rodentia; Bathyergidae.
CAAAAGGCACAGGGGAACCUUCCAGAGUGGGACACUGUGGAACAGUCACUCUGCUGACCACUGAGCUCUGGGAGACUCGAUUCUUCAAGUUCUAGGGGCCUGGAGAUCCUCACAUUUCCUGGAAACAGAGCAUGGCUUUGCAGCAUCAGUCCUGGGGCUGAGAAGCCAUGGGUGAAGGGAGCCUUGGAAUAUGGAUGGUCUCCUUUCUCCAGCACUGCAGCAGCGGAGCGCCGCAGACUUAGGUCUGGAACUCACCUGGGCCCUACACUUAGAAGCUGCAUGACCCAAGGCAAAUUCUUAGCCCUUUCUGAUGGAUUUUUCUCCCCUACAAAAUGUGUGUGGUGGCAUUUUGUUCCCAAGCCUUGCGCCUAGAACAGAAUGAGCAAGCAGCACUUGGUACCUGGUGGCCAGCAUGAGGGGGGGUUUAGGGGACUGGGCACUUGCUGGUGGAGUUGAAGCAAUGAGGUUGUGUCUGUGACCCUGAAGGGAAGAAGGAAGUUAGCAUGAAUGGGUUGAGGGUGAAGGACAAGAUAUUGGUUCUGAGGACCAAUAUCUGGAUUAUAUAAAGAACUCAAAAACUAGAUUCCCCCCAAAUAAAAGAUCCAACUCUAAAAUGAGCAGUUGAAAGAUGGUGUCAUCCCAGCACUUGGAAGGCUGAGGUCGGAGGAUUGCCAUGAGUUCAGGGCCAGCCUGGGUGACCCAGUGAGUUUGAGGCCAGUCUGAACUACAUAAUGGGACUGUCUCAAACCAAAACACCACUAAAUGGGCAAGUGAAAUGAAUACACACUUCUCAAGAGAAGUACAAAUGACCAAUGAAAACAUGAAAAAAUGUUCGGCAUCUUUGGCCAUGAAAGAAAUGCA